UGGGGAAUAUUGGACAAUGGGCGAAAGCCUGAUCCAGCCAUGCCGCGUGUGUGAAGAAGGUCUUCGGAUUGUAAAGCACUUUAAGUUGGGAGGAAGGGCAGUAAGCGAAUACCUUGCUGUUUUGACGUUACCGACAGAAUAAGCACCGGCUAACUCUGUGCCAGCAGCCGCGGUAAUACAGAGGGUGCAAGCGUUAAUCGGAAUUACUGGGCGUAAAGCGCGCGUAGGUGGUUCGUUAAGUUGAAUGUGAAAGCCCCGGGCUCAACCUGGGUACUGCAUCCAAAAAUGGCGAGCUAGAGUAGGGCAGAGAGUGGUGGAAUCUCCUGUGUAGCGGUGAAAUGCGUAGAUAUAGGAAGGAACACCAGUCGCGAAGGCGACCACCUGGGCUCAUACUGACACUGAGGUGCGAAAGCGUGGGGAGCAAACAGG
Molecule: ribosomal RNA, 429 nt
Filed under: Pseudomonadota bacterium
Lineage: Bacteria; Pseudomonadati; Pseudomonadota
Description: Proteobacteria bacterium partial 16S ribosomal RNA
Rfam family: Bacterial small subunit ribosomal RNA
Source: RNAcentral